CCUAGGAGGCCCAAAUUAUCCUAGCCGCACAUUUCUCAAUCCAAUGACUAAAAAACUAAUAGCACUAAUAGCUUGGUGCUAUUAAUAGUAUUAUUACAGCCUAGUUAUAUAUAUAUAUAUAUAUAUAUAUAUAUAUAUAUAGAGCAGGGCUGCUGUGCUCUCAGGAGCACAGAGGCCUCUGUGCUCCUGAGCCGUUUUCGAUGAUGGAGUUUCCGAAUCGACGAUCAGCUCCGUUAAACUUGAUCUAGCGUAUUUAAAGUUUCUAGAAAAUAAUUUUUGCGAUUUUUCGAUAUCAUUUACCUAGUAAUCGAAAGGAUUCAAAAUCGAUAAUUUUUAAUGGUUGAAAAUAAAAAUCCUAUAAAAAGUGGUGAUAUAGCACUAAAAUUUUCGAUCAGAAAUAUUGAUCUUGUUGUAGAUAGUAUAAAGAAUUUUGUAUCAAAAUUUCAUCUGAUUUGAAUACUUUUACACCGUUAAACUUGAAAACGGCAGAUAUCAACCAUUAAA
This 504-nucleotide long non-coding RNA is filed under the name Ananas comosus (pineapple). RNAcentral describes it as "long non-coding RNA (ACOM_LNC002300)". The record is from RNAcentral. Lineage: Eukaryota; Viridiplantae; Streptophyta; Magnoliopsida; Poales; Bromeliaceae.